RNAcentral lists this small nuclear RNA (104 nucleotides) under Neotoma lepida (desert woodrat). The record is from RNAcentral. Lineage: Eukaryota; Metazoa; Chordata; Mammalia; Rodentia; Cricetidae.
GCUGCCUGAGAGCAACUUAGAUCAAAAUUGGAACGAUACAGAGAAGAUUAGCAUGGCCCCUCCACAAGGAUGACACGCAAAUUUGUGAAGCAUUCCAUAUUUUU